AUGCCCAGAAAAUAUGGUAAGCUAUGUUAACAAGCCAUAUUAGAUAUCAAGCAUUAAUAUGGAAAUAAACCAGCCCACCUGCACCCAGGUGAAAUAAACAGCUUUAUUGCUCACACAAAGCCUGUUUGGUGGUCUCUUCACAUGGACGCGCAUGAAAUUUGGUGCCGUGACUCGGAUCGGGGGACCUCCCUUGGGAGAUCAAUCCCCUGUCCUCCUGCUCUUUGCUCCGUGAGAAACAUCCACCUAUGGCCUCAGGUCCUCAGACCGACCAGCCCAAGAAACAUCUCACCAAUUUCAAAUCCGGCAUUGGGCUCUCACCAUUGGCCAAGAUUCCCUGCCCCGGUGAGGCCGGAAGCAGUUCAGACACCUGACUUCUGGCAACAUGUGAGCCUGACCCAAGCAGAUCACUGGUGACCAGUAAAUAUUGAAGCUCCAAGAGUAUUUUCCAAAAGAAGAGCAAGGGCCCGGCUGGAGGCUGACAGGCUUCCAAGAACCUGAAUCCCCUCUUGGACUCCUGGCUUGCUUUUGGCUACAGAAUCAUCAUCUGCAUCUGGAGAUUUCCACUGGGACUUUCUGGAGGCAGACAAAUCCUGCCCUGAUUCUGGGGACCAUGCCUGUGGAGAUGCACAGUUCUACCAUUCAAAAUGACUAUCUGAAAAUACCUCCUAAGAAGGACAAAACUUUUCUUCAGCCAAGAGGGCACUUGUUAAUAUGAUUAGAUACAUAUGUAAUGGUGUCCCCCUCCCCUCUUAGCCCCUCAGUGUGUGUUCUCUCAGUCAGUGUAUCUACAUGCAGGAGACAUUAAAGGAUGGAUGUAACUUCAGACCUUCAUUUCCCCAUAAGUAUUGCUUUCAGAGAAUAUCUAAUGAAGUCACAUGGAUGAAGAUUUCUGUAUCAUUUGUUUCCCAGAAUGGCUCUCCAACUUACAUUUCAUCAUCCACCCACAUAUCCACUUAUCCAUUCAACCUUCAUGUACUGACUGAAAACUCCUCUUAUAUAGUUUUCCUCAGCAGUUUCCUCUUCUGGGGAUUUUCUGCUGUUUUGGUAACCUGUUUUAAUGUUGUAUUUUAUGUGUUCCUAAGGGCAAUGCAAGUUGUUUAAAGAGGCAAUUAUCUCAUGUGAUUUAUGAGAUUUGCUGGACAAAUUCCAAUAAAAAAUGUACUUGAGAAGUAUGUCACAGGUUUAUUGCUGGUAUCAAUAAAGUCUCUAUAGUGUGUGGCAAUCCAUGUUUUAAAAGGAGUUAGCUUUGUGAUCAUAGAUUAUCAAAUCUAAUAUGCCACCAAUUAUAAGAUUUAUUCCAGUUUUUGAGAUGUAAAAAUGUAAAAAAUAAAGGUCAGCAAUUAUUUUAUAAUUUCAUGUAUUGUAAGAUAUAUGUAGAAUCAAAAGACGGUAAAAUGUGAAAUAAAGUGCACCUAAGAAUUGAUAAAAAAAAAAAAAAAAAAAAAAAAAAAA
Molecule: long non-coding RNA, 1452 nt
Filed under: Homo sapiens (human)
Lineage: Eukaryota; Metazoa; Chordata; Mammalia; Primates; Hominidae
Description: SNCAIP antisense RNA 3 (SNCAIP-AS3)
Source: RNAcentral